UACAGAGGGGGCAAGCGUUGUUCGGAAUUACUGGGCGUAAAGGGCGCGUAGGCGGCCUUCUAAGUCGAACGUGAAAUCCCUGGGCUCAACCCAGGAACUGCGUCCGAUACUGGAAGGCUUGAAUCCGGGAGAGGGAUGCGGAAUUCCAGGUGUAGCGGUGAAAUGCGUAGAUAUCUGGAGGAACACCGGUGGCGAAGGCGGCAUCCUGGACUAAUACUGACGCUGAGGUGCGAAAGCGUGGGGAGCAAACAGG
RNAcentral lists this ribosomal RNA (253 nucleotides) under uncultured bacterium. Its description in RNAcentral is "partial 16S ribosomal RNA". It matches the Rfam family "Bacterial small subunit ribosomal RNA", at positions 524 to 776 of the family's 1533-position model. The record is from RNAcentral.